GGAAGGAUCAUUACCGAGUUUUCGGGCUUCGGCUCGACUCUCCCACCCUUUGUGAACGUACCUCUGUUGCUUUGGCGGCUCCGGCCGCCAAAGGACCUUCAAACUCCAGUCAGUAAACGCAGACGUCUGAUAAACAAGUUAAUAAACUAAAACUUUCAACAACGGAUCUCUUGGUUCUGGCAUCGAUGAAGAACGCAGCGAAAUGCGAUAAGUAAUGUGAAUUGCAGAAUUCAGUGAAUCAUCGAAUCUUUGAACGCACAUUGCGCCCCUUGGUAUUCCGGGGGGCAUGCCUGUUCGAGCGUCAUUACAACCCUCAAGCUCUGCUUGGAAUUGGGCACCGUCCUCAUUGCGGACGCGCCUCAAAGACCUCGGCGGUGGCUGUUCAGCCCUCAAGCGUAGUAGAAUACACCUCGCUUUGGAGCGGUUGGCGUCGCCCGCCGGACGAACCUUCUGAACUUUUCUCAAGGUUGACCUCGGAU
Molecule: ribosomal RNA, 479 nt
Filed under: Lasiodiplodia theobromae
Lineage: Eukaryota; Fungi; Ascomycota; Dothideomycetes; Botryosphaeriales; Botryosphaeriaceae
Description: eukaryotic LSU rRNA
Rfam family: 5.8S ribosomal RNA (bases 151-304)
Source: RNAcentral